Long non-coding RNA from Scomber japonicus (chub mackerel), 495 nucleotides. RefSeq lists it as uncharacterized. The record is from RefSeq and is a predicted model, not a curated record. The transcript is spliced from 3 exons. NCBI's taxonomy places the organism in Eukaryota, Metazoa, Chordata, Actinopteri, Scombriformes, Scombridae.
GAUUCCUACACCAGACAAUGAGAGCGACACUGAGGUUCCAUAUGCUGACAUAAUGAUCACUGUCCGAGGCGUCAGUAGUACACCAGAGCUCACUCAGGUUGGGUACUUGAGUCCUGGAGACCAAAACGAGUGGCGGGGAGAUGAAUUAAGGUCUCACCUGCAGGCCUCACGCUCAGCUGACAGACUGCACGUCCCGCAGCCCAGAGAGGUGAGCCGCAAGAUGAGCACCAACUCUGAGUAUGCCGUCAUCACAUAUGCCUGACCGUUGCUGCUGCUGCUGCCGGAAAAAAGCUAGAAAUAAAGGAGUAGGGUGGAUUAGGGUAAUGUGGGACAAGACUAAUGUGGGACAACGUUUUCUAUUCAGUUAUUCUAAAGCUAACUAGCAAUCUGUGUAAAUUGUAUUGUUUAACAUUAUACAUGCAUUACAUUACAUACGUCAGCUAGGUUUGUUAAUUGUAAAUAUGCUAUUAAACGCUUUCUGUGUCUCUAAAAGUA